Molecule: long non-coding RNA, 497 nt
Filed under: Rattus norvegicus (Norway rat)
Lineage: Eukaryota; Metazoa; Chordata; Mammalia; Rodentia; Muridae
Description: long non-coding RNA NONRATT014051
Source: RNAcentral
ACAUUUUUUAUUUGCGAUUUCUUUGCAGAAAGGAUUUUUUUUUUAAUUCAGGAAUAGUCAGAAAACUUGGGCAAUUAUUUGUUUAGGUCGAGAAGAGAUUUUUAGACUAAACCUGGCAAGGAGUGGUGUAUCCUCAAAAGGUACCGCGACCGCGCUCAGCAAGCUAUUCGAUGCGCUCGACGCUCUUUCGCUGGCGCCGUAGCACCGCGGUAGGAGUCUGCGCUCUGGGCUCGACUGAGGCUCCCUGGUUGCUCGCGCUUUUCUCUCCUUCUCCAAGAUGGCGGCGGUCGGCGGCGCUGAGGCGGGAUCCGAGCGAGCCGAGUGAAGGUAGCGGCGAGCGGAGCCCCCACCAGACCCAGCCGGACCCCCACCCCGGGGCGGCAACGGCCCUGCCCGGCCUCCGCCCACCGCUCCGGCCCCCCGACACCGUCCCGGAGGCUCUUCAGGCCCGCCGCGGCCUAGCUCAGGGGCCAAGCCGGGAACUGGAGUAGCGGCCG